AAAGAAAAACUGAUGAAUUCUCUGUCUUCCAUAAAACAAGUGGAUCUUGGUGCUAUUGAAUUUGAACAGAACCGUGGAAAACAACCUUCAAAUUUGUCCGCCCUUGCUCAAGGUCCAAGGUUAAGGCUGUUGUGGGCGUCCUUUCAGUUGCUCAAGAAAGAGGUAGAUAGUAUUUCUGCAAAUGCUGUUACCUCCGGCAAUGAUGACUCUCUGGGCAUUUUUAAUGAUGUCAUUCAGAGGUUGU
RNAcentral lists this unclassified non-coding RNA (244 nucleotides) under Hevea brasiliensis (rubber tree). The record is from RNAcentral. Lineage: Eukaryota; Viridiplantae; Streptophyta; Magnoliopsida; Malpighiales; Euphorbiaceae.